AAGAUUUUUUUUCCUAUUCAAUAUGUCUGCACUACAAUUCCUAAAUAUGGAAGACAAAACCAAACAAAAAUACCACUGAACUACCACCAGAAAAACCAACCCAUUAAGCUUAAUGAACCAUAAAGGCUCACAGCACAAAUUUCAAAUUGCAGGCAGAGGUAAUGCCUUCACAGUUGAAAUAACCACCAGUGUUUGACUGAGGCUGAGAAAACUGGCAAAGUAACUUGACAAUGAGUUACGUCAAGCAGAGUAAUCAAGGAGGAAAAAUUCAUGGGCAUCUUUUUUACACUACAAGACUGAACUCUGUCCAUCAGAAGAAAAAGGGCAAACUGGUAGUCAUUGAGCCAGAAUAAGCUUCUUGAAAGCAGUCAACUUCUUACCUUAUUUGACUAACAUCUCCUAUGCCAAUACUUCAGGAGCCAAGGAAGAUGCGGAAUAUCUGCCUAGUUAACAACCUCAUAGACAUAGC
Molecule: long non-coding RNA, 469 nt
Organism: Gallus gallus (chicken)
Lineage: Eukaryota; Metazoa; Chordata; Aves; Galliformes; Phasianidae
Source: Ensembl